CCUCCCUUCCCCUUCCACCCCUUUGCCCUAUCUAGAGUUCAUCUAUUCCUCCCAUGCCCCCCCUCCCAACCCCACUAUAAAUCAUCACUAUAUCAGAGAAAAUAUUUAGCAUUUGGUUUCUUGGGAUUAGCUAACUUCACUUAGAAUUAUAUUCUCCAACUCCAUGCAUUUACCUGCAAAUGCCAUGAUUUCAUUCUCUUUUAUUGCUGAGUAAUAUUCCAUUGUAUAAAUAUAUACUACAUUUUCCUUAUCCAUUCAUUUUCUGAUGGGCAUAUAGGUUGGUUCCACAGCUACUGUGAAUUGUGCUCCUAUAAACAUUGAUGUGGCUGUGUCUCUAUAGUAUGCUGAUUUUAAAUCCUUUGGGUAUACACUGGGGAGUGGGAUAGCUGGGACAAAAGGUGGUUCCAUUCCCAGUUUUCCAAGAAAUCUCCAUAUUGCUUUCCAUAUUGGCUGCACCAAUUUGCAGUCCCACCAGUAAUGUAUGAGUGUGCCUUUUCCCCCCACAUCCUCACCAAUACUUAUUGUUGUUUAUCUUUUUUUUAAAAAAAAAAAGAGAGAAAUUUUUAAUAUUUAUUUUAUUUUAUUUUUUAGCUUUCGGUGGACACAACAUCUUUAUUUUAUUUUUAUGUGGUGCUGGUGAUAUGAGAAUGGAAACCCCUGCUUGUUUCUGCAGUUUAUGUGAGUGGUAUGAAUUUUCCCAGCCUUUCACCUUCAGUUUGUGGAUGUCUUUUCCUAUGAGAUGAGUCUCUUGGAGGCAGCAUAUUGUUGGGUCAUUUUUUUUUUUUUAAAUCCAAUCUGCCAGUCUACGUCUUUUGAUUGGUGAGUUCAGGCCAUAACAUUCAGGAUUAUUAUUGAGACAUGAUUUGUAUUCCCAGCCAUUUUAGUUUAUUUUUGGUAUUUAACUUGACUUGGUUUCCCCUUCAAUUAGUUUUUCCUUUAGUGCAAUACCUCCCUUUGCUGAUUUUCAUUGUUUUUCAAUUCCUCUUCAUGGAAUAUUUUGCCGAGGAUGUUCUGUAGUUGCAAGUUGUAAAUUCUUUUAAUUUUUGUUUAUCAUGGAAAGUUUUUAUUUCAUCAUCAAAUCUAAUGCUUAAUUUUGCUGGAUAUAAGAUUCUUGGUUGGGAUCCAUUUUCUUUCAGAGCUUGAUAUAUGUUGUUCCACAAUCCUCUAGCUUUUAGGGUCUGGGUUGAAAAAUCUGCACAUAAUCUAAUUGGUUUCUCCCUGUAUGUAAUCUGAUUUCUUUCUUUUGUGGCUUUUAGUAUUCUCUCCUUAUUCUGUAUGUUAGGCAUUUUGGUGUGGAUCUGUUUAAUUUUGUACAUUUGAUGUCCUGUAAGCCUCCUGAAGUUGGUUUUCCAAUUCAUUCUUCCUGUUUGGAAAAUUUUCUGAUAUUAUUUCGUUGAAUAGAUUGCUCAUUCCUUUGGUUUGGAACUCUAUGUCUUCCUCUAUCCCAAUAACUCUUAUUAAAUUUGGUCUUUUAAUACUAUCCCAUAUUUCUUGAAUUGUCUGCUCAUGGUUUCUUACCACUUUUACUGUGUGGUCUACAUUCUUUUCAAAAGUAUGUAUUUUGUAUUCAUUGUCUGAGGUCCUGAGGUCCUGUCUUCCAAGUGGUCUAAUCUGUUGGUGAUGCUUUCAAUUGAAUUUUAAUUUGGUUUAGUAUUUCUUUCAUUUCAAGGAUUUCUGUUUUGUUUUGUUUUUUUAGAACCUAUAUCUCCCUAUUGAAGUAAUCUUUUGCUUCCAGUAUUUGCUUAUGUAGCUCUUAGUCAAAAUGAUCUUUUGCUGCCUGUAUUUGCUGUAUUAUAACAUCCUUUAAUUCACAGAACAUUUUAAUUAUGUACAUCCUGAACUCCUUGUCUGUCAUUUCUGCUGCUUCCUCUGGCCUAAUAAUGUGGUAUCUUGAUUUGUUUGGGGCACUUUCUUCCCUUGUCUUUUCAUAUUGCUUGUGUGUCUUCCCUUCUAGCACUGUGGAUCCCAGACAUUACCAUUUUUACCCUAUAAGCUUAUAGUGCCCCUGUAGGGAUCAAAUACCUCUCCUUUGAGGUGAAGGACAAUGUUAACAGAUCUCAGUAUAAACAAUAUGCACCUCAAAAACAAAUGUUUGCUAUUAAGAUGUUUACAGAUUGGUCACAAUGUACAGAAAUGGUGAAUUCAAUUAUUAUCUACAAUAUUCUCAGUAGGUUUGUAAAAGGGUUUAUAGUUUCUGAUGUUGGACAAAGAACCAGGGGUGAGGAGUAGGAUGAUAUGCCAAGGAGGCAGGAGGAGAGGAUAUAGAGUUAUUAUAUCUUAGGAAGUGUGAAAGAGAAAUCUAAAGAGGAAGAUUAGUAGCAGAAGAAGGGAGAGGAAGUAAUUUUGGGGAGACAAGUAAGUAGGAAGACAAUAGAGUACAUAAAACAAACAUACAUAUAUAUUUAGAAAAAUAAAAAAAUGUUAAAAUAGUAGGAAUUGGUGGGAAAAAGAAAAAAGGAUAAAGAAAAAAAUAUAUAACACAACUGUAAUAUACUAUUCAGAUGUCCCAGUCCUCAAAAUCAUAAUUCAUGCAAAGUACUUGGUUUCACAUGUGUUGGGAAUGUGAGAAUGGAAGAAUAGAGAGGAAGAGGGAAAAAAAAAUCUUGAAGGAAGAAACAGGGAUUGUUUCAGUUGGAGAUCAGUAUCUUUCCUGCUCCCUUCUCAUCUAAUAGGUGGGUUCAUCUGUUGUUAGCUGGUGUGUCCACCCUCAGGAUGGUAAAGGUAACCAGGGUAUCACUGUGUUGGGGUAGUGGCUGCUGGGGAGAGGGGGGGAGUUAAAAACUGGGUACCCCAGAUGGAUUUCCAAACUGGGAGUUGCCCCCACUGAAAAUGGUGAUGAAGGUGGCCCAAGAUUGAGGUGCCUGCUUUCAGUGAUGGGAUGUUGGGUUAGGUGGGAGGAGCCAGGAUGAUUUCAGAGAGGAGCACUGUGGUGCAGAGCAUGUGGCUGUCAGCUGACUUCAGAGCCUGUGUGAGGUUCUUGGACCCAGGCAGGCUAAGGCACGUAGGGUACUGUCUCUGCUGCUGUAGAAUCCUAAGAUGUCGGUGACUGGGGGAGCCCCACAUGGGCAGAUGGGGCUCCACAUGGGAGUAGCGGCCAGAGUUCCCACGCCUGGGAAACUGCCAGGUGUCCUUUGUGGGAGCAGUGUUCAUGCUUUCUGCUCGGGUGGGUGGCCAAAAGUUCUGCAUGGGUGCUGAUGCUGAUGGUCCUGCCCUGGUAUCUGGUUGUCCUGCAUGGUUGAGUAGUUGGGAGACCUGCUCUGACACUGAGGCCUAGAGCCCUGGACUGGCAUGGUGACCAUGAUUCCUGCGAGGGAGCAGGAGCAUCACUCGCAGAGAAGCAGUAUUCUCACUACUUGAGUCCCAGGUCACAGAGUGACACAGACUGCUGCCUUCCUCUUACCCACCAUCUUGGUUUUCAACUGUUAUCUCCUAACAGUUGUUGAUGUCAUAUUUCCAAGGAGGCAUUUUCCCUUCUCUGCCCUGUUAACAAGUACAUACUACUGACUUUUGGCUACGUGUCCAGCCCUAUGGUCGUCUCUCUGAUGGUGAAAAAGAAUUGUGAGACAGUGUCUGAUCUCUAGAAGUUUAUAAUCUAUGUUGGAUGAUAAAUGAAGGUUCAUGUUGCCAUCUAUAAUCAAUAAAAUGAAAGGAAUGCUGCAUAAUGAAGGAUUAAAAGUAUGACACAGGUGAGAAGUGCUACUGAAAUAUAGAGCAGAAAGAGGCAAAAGAAGGAAUGAAAAUUGACAGUUAAGAAGAAUCAGUCACAUUCUAGGAAUCUGACUUGACCUCUCAUUGAAUUCCCACCACACUCCUUCAACAAGGCUGGAACUGGAGGGAGAGACAUGGGCUGGGUAGUAAUGGAGAGGGACUGAGUAAGUCUGUGUUGAGCAAGCCUUGAAAGAGGUGGAGAAGAAGAGAGAAGUGAAAAACGAACAUAAGGAGACAUGUUUAGCUGUCAUGUUGAAGGGAAGGGGAAUUGCUACUGAAUUCAAAUGGGCAUGAAUAUGGAGAGUCUCGAACACCAGGGAGAGCUUUUAGUUAGAAGUGGCAAGAUAGUGAUGGCUGCUACUGGAUAGUAGUGAUGGCUACUGGUGUUCUGUUGAUCCCCAUUUAAAACAGUAAAGGAAGAAUUCUGAAGUGGAAGAAGGAAAAAACAGCUUGGAAGAAGCAGUGGCGGGCCUCAUUUUAGUAUAUGGUGGGGACAGAAAUCCAAAUGAACAGAUUAAUUAACAAAGAGAUUUUCUAGGAAUGAUUGGCAGGACUCAGAAACGGCUUAGUAUUGGGGAUACAGGAAUAUAUCCUUAACAUAGGAAAUGGGUUAAUCAAAGUAAAUUCUAUAAAUUUAAGUUUAAAAGUUCAGGUAAAUGUUGGCAGGUGGUAUGGCAUAGUGAAAAGAACAUGAGCUUUGAAAUCAGCAAACCUGGGUGUGAGUCCCAACCCUACCACUUACUUCCAUGUAACCUUGGGCAGAGUCCUCUGCAUGGGUACACUGAUACAUAGUAUCUACUUCAUUGAUCUAUGUGAAGAUUAAAUAACAUGAUUACUGUAAAGCACUUAGAACAGCUCCUGUCACAGAGAAUUACAGAAAACUGUAAGGUCAGAAACCCUUCAACACAAAAAAUCCUUUGGACCUCCAAAUAUUUUUGUCAGUAAGCAAGCAGAGAAGACCACUUACCACCCAACUAAGGCCCAGUUUUCUGACACUCCUAAUUGUGUGUGUGUGUGUGUGUGUGUGUAAUAAUGUGUAUUGUUUUAAGCCUCUAAGUUUGGAGUAAUUUGUUCCACAGCAACAGUUAACCAUAUACAUUUUACUGAAACAUGUCUGAUCUCAUUAAGCCUCACAGCAAACUGGAUAAAAAGUACCCACAAAUUUGAGAAAAGACAGUUUGUUCUUUAGCUAUGGUGCCAUACCAAGUAGAUACCAGUACUAGUUUUAAACCUGUGCAAUCAAUAAUGACCUAAGUGAACAUGCUUUUGAAAGCUAGCUUGUCAAUGCCAGCUCCUUUUAACUGAAAGUCACCUGAUGUUCUUUUAGAAAUGAUGACUUGAUUGAUGGAUUGAUUUCCAAAGGCAUCUUCAUGGAGUACUAUGGUCUGAAUGUUUGUUUCCUCCCAAAAUCCAUUUGCUAAAAUCCUAACCCCCACCAUGAUGGCAUUAGAAAAUGGGAUCAAAUCUUUGGGAGAAUAUUAAUUGAUGGUUACUUAUAAAAGAGGCCCAAGGACAAUUACACAGCCUUUUCCACCAUGGAAGGACACUGUGAGAAGAAAACAUUUGUGAACCAGAAAAUGAGCCCUCAUAGACACCUAACCUGCUGCUACCCAUAUCUGGGACUUACUAGCUUCCAGAACUGUGAGAAGUAAAUUUCUGUGUUUCUUAAGUUUCCUAGUCUAAAGGUUAUAAGUAGCCCAUGCUGUUAUAGCAGCCUCUAUAAGACUGAGAGAAUUUGUUGAUCCACUGAUCAGGUUUAAACUGGUUCAAAUGACUGCAUUUUACCAUGGUUACAAAAUAGCUCAGCCUUUCCUCAUGUGUGGGAAAUUUUUGUAUUCUCAAAAGAUCAUGUUCUGAUUGAAGGGAGAUUGGGAACCAUGUUUCCAGGUGAAUGGGGGAUAGUGUCUGUUUGGUGAACUGACACUGGCCAAGCUUACUUGUUUAAAAAGAGCUGUGUCUGAAGCAAAGAAUGGUGCCCUAUAGAGAAUUACCAGGAGUUUAUCACUUCAUAUUUCAUCAUUUUUAUCAAAUUUUCUUUUGGUGUUUCUGGGGAUCGAAACCAGGGUCUCACACACACAAGGGAACCAUUCUAUCACCAAAGCCCUUUUGAAAUUUUUCAUUUUGAUACAAGGUCUCUUUGAGUUGUCCAAGAUGGUUUCCAACUUGUAAUCUUCCUGCCUCAGCCUCCCAAGUAGCUGAGAUUACAGGCAUGUACCACUAUGCCCCAUCCAAAUGUCUGAAUAGCAUCUUCAAAAGUCAUCUUUCUCCUUUCCUUUAGAUAGGACUGCCCCCCACCAUAAUUUGACAAGAUGGUUAUAUUUGUUUAUACACUGCCUAGAGUCUCAAAAUCUUCUCUUAGCUUUUAUUUUUCUGUAUUUUUUUCCAUCCUUGGACUCAGGAAGUUCUUUCUGUAUCUAACAUUGUCCUUUCCUAUUAUGACUAUCCAAGUCAGGAGAACCCUGCACAUUUUCCUGUGUAUAAAGCUCAUCUACAAUGGUUGUCAUCUCUGGGCAUGUGUUUACUUUGCCCCACAUCUCCCAAGAGAACAAGAAAUAUGAGAUUUGCAAUUUGCCUACUCACCACACUGUUUGGAAUUAUUACCUCCCUCUCUGAACAUCUUGGCACAUCUUAAAAGAAGGGAUGGGAUACAGAAAGAAGACAAACUUUGUCCCAGCUCUGCAGCUCUUGAAUCUGCUUGAGUUCUCACUUCCAAACCCUAGUUUCACCCAGCACACAAGGACCAGGGAAGGAAACUACAGAGCAAAGCAGAAGCUCUAAGUCAUGAAAACACUGUGGAUCAGAGGAUAGGCCCUGAGGCUGUGAUAGCUGUACUCUUAAGGUAGGUAUAAAGUGGCUUGGUCAGAGGUAACUCCUAUUAUAGGAUCACCAUGAUUCAGCUUUCCUUCAAUUUUCCUAGAAGACUUGAACUAGGGAAAGCAUUUUUGUAUUAUACAUAGAUAUUUACAGAGUAGAAUUUAAAGUUGAUAUGAGUUUUUAAAGAAGGAAACUUGAAAAUCUUAANUAUCUCUGCAAAUAUACCAGAAAGCACCAAGAUUAUCUUC
RNAcentral lists this long non-coding RNA (6770 nucleotides) under Marmota monax (woodchuck). Lineage: Eukaryota; Metazoa; Chordata; Mammalia; Rodentia; Sciuridae. The record is from RNAcentral.